This 328-nucleotide ribosomal RNA is filed under the name uncultured eukaryote. Its description in RNAcentral is "partial 18S ribosomal RNA". It matches the Rfam family "Eukaryotic small subunit ribosomal RNA", at positions 1470 to 1796 of the family's 1831-position model. The record is from RNAcentral.
CCCUUAGAUGUCCUGGGCUGCACGCGCGCUACACUGAUGUGUCCAGUAAGCACCUAACCUCUUCCGAAAGGAACGGGUAACCUUUGCAAAGCACAUCGUGAUGGGGAUAGAUUAUUGCAAUUAUUAGUCUUGAACGAGGAAUUCCUAGUAAGCACAAGUCAUCAGCUUGUGUUGAUUACGUCCCUGCCCUUUGUACACACCGCCCGUCGCACCUACCGAUUGGAUGGUCCGGUGAAGCCUCGGGAUUGUGGUUCUUGCCGCUUUAUUGUGGCGUGACCGCGAGAACUUGUCUAAACCUUAUCAUCUAGAGGAAGGUGAAGUCGUAACA